GGCGGACGGGUGAGUAAUACUUAGGAAUCUACCUAGUAGUGGGGGAUAGCUCGGGGAAACUCGAAUUAAUACCGCAUACGACCUACGGGAGAAAGGGGGCAACUUGUUGCUCUCGCUAUUAGAUGAGCCUAAGUCGGAUUAGCUAGAUGGUGGGGUAAAGGCCUACCAUGGCGACGAUCUGUAGCUGGUCUGAGAGGAUGAUCAGCCACACCGGGACUGAGACACGGCCCGGACUCCUACGGGAGGCAGCAGUGGGGAAUAUUGGACAAUGGGGGCAACCCUGAUCCAGCCAUGCCGCGUGUGUGAAGAAGGCCUUUUGGUUGUAAAGCACUUUAAGCAGUGAAGAAGACUCCAUGGUUAAUACCCAUGGACGAUGACAUUAGCUGCAGAAUAAGCACCGGCUAACUCUGUGCCAGCAGCCGCGGUAAUACGAAGGGUGCAAGCGUUAAUCGGAAUUACUGGGCGUAAAGCGCGCGUAGGUGGUUCGUUAAGUUAGGAGUGAAAGCCCCGGGCUCAAC
Molecule: ribosomal RNA, 518 nt
Filed under: uncultured bacterium
Lineage: Bacteria
Description: bacterial SSU rRNA
Rfam family: Bacterial small subunit ribosomal RNA
Source: RNAcentral